Maylandia zebra (zebra mbuna) is the source of this 4903-nucleotide RNA transcript. It is a transcript of the gene named CUGBP Elav-like family member 6, with no coding region annotated. The record is from RefSeq and is a predicted model, not a curated record. Lineage: Eukaryota; Metazoa; Chordata; Actinopteri; Cichliformes; Cichlidae.
GCAGCCCGCCGGCCCAUUGAGGAAAGAUGGCUACAGUCACUGCAAACGGAGUGCAGCAAGAGAAUGGAUUCAGCACCACGAACAGCGCCGGCAGGAUGAACGGGCUUACCAUCGGCCAGAACACCAUUCCAAUGAAGGACCACGACGCCAUCAAGCUUUUCAUCGGGCAGAUUCCCAGAAACCUGGAGGAAAAAGACCUGAAACCCCUGUUUGAGGAAUUCGGAAAGAUAUACGAACUCACUGUUCUGAAAGACAGGUUUACGGGAAUGCAUAAAGGAUGUGCCUUUCUAACAUACUGUGCCAGAGAGUCAGCACUGAAGGCCCAGAGCGCCCUCCAUGAACAGAAGACUCUGCCAGGGAUGAACCGGCCCAUCCAGGUGAAACCUGCUGACAGCGAAGGACGAGGAGAAGACAGGAAGCUGUUUGUUGGGAUGCUCGGCAAGCAGCAAAGUGAGGAUGAUGUCCGGCGGCUGUUCGAGACCUUCGGCCAGAUUGAGGAGUGCACCGUCCUCCGAGGGCCUGAUGGGGCCAGUAAGGGCUGUGCCUUUGUCAAGUUCUCCAGCCAUGCAGAAGCACAGGCCGCCAUCAACAGCUUGCAUGGUGGUCAGACUAUGCCUGGUGCCUCGUCGAGCCUGGUGGUCAAAUUUGCCGACACUGAUAAGGAGAGAACCCUGCGCAGAAUGCACCAGAUGGCAGGCCAGCUCGGCAUCUUCAGUCCUAUGACCAUCCAGUUUGGGGCCUAUGGCGCCUACUCUCAUGCUGUAAGUCUCAGCCCGGCGGGGGAGGAGACGCAGAUGAUGCAACAGCAAGCAGCCCUGAUGGCAGCAACACAAGGGUCCUACCUGAACCCUAUGGCAGCCAUCGCUGCCGCACAAAUGCAGCAAAUGGCAGCUUUCAAUGUCAACGGCCUGGUGGCUACUCCCAUGACACCUUCCUCAGGCACCAGCACACCCCCAGGCAUCUCUGCCACAGCCGUGCCCAGCAUAGCCACUCCUAUUGGGGUCAAUGGAUUCAGUGCCCUCCCACCUCAAAGCAAUGGGCAGCCCACAUCCGAGCCCAUUUACACCAAUGGUAUUCACCCUUACCCAGCACAGAGUCCAACAGUGACCGACCCUCUCCAACAGGCUUAUGCUGGUGUCCAGCACUACGCAGCAGCCUACCCUGCCGCCUAUGCGCCAAUCAGCCAAGCGUUCCCCCAGCAACCAACCAUCAUUCCCCAGCAACAGAGGGAAGGGCCAGAAGGUUGCAACCUGUUUAUUUAUCACCUGCCCCAGGAGUUUGGAGACGCUGAGCUCAUGCAAAUGUUCCUACCUUUUGGCAACGUCAUCUCCGCCAAAGUGUUUGUGGACCGAGCGACUAAUCAGAGCAAAUGUUUCGGCUUUGUGAGUUUUGAUAACCCAUCCAGUGCUCAAGCCGCUAUCCAGGCCAUGAAUGGCUUUCAGAUAGGCAUGAAGAGGCUGAAGGUGCAGCUAAAGCGGCCAAAAGAUGCCAACCGACCUUACUGACUCGUCUGCUAUUCAUACCCAGGCCAAUCACAGUGUGAGGUGGCCUUUCUCCGCUAUAGCCACACACCCCCACACCUGUCAUGGGGCCAAGUUCCCUCAGCUGAUGAAGGGCCACAACACCUUAUUUCCACAAGUGCAGUAAAAGUACAAAGACUUCUUGCUCUGCUACAUAUCAUGAAGGAAGGGUGGUCCCUUGAUCCUCCUGGAAAGCCGCUGAAAGAUUGGGUGACUGAGAGAAGGAUCCCAGAGUUGUCGGGUUUUUUUGUUUGUUUAUUUAUUUUCGUUUUUCUUCGCAAAUGCCUCUUUUUUUCCUCUUUUGCUUUGGCGUCUGUGGAAGAAGAUUUUUUGCAGAGACCAACUUUUUGCUGCUGUUUUUUAGACAUGAUGGAAAAAAAAAAACCUUUAUAGACUCAUUAUGCUCAAAGCAUGCAUACUGACACAGGAUAUAGAUAAACACAGAAAACAAAUCAAACAUACACAUUUCAAAAAUGCUACACUUAAAGAAAAAAAAAAGAAAAAAAAAACUUUGUACAUGUAUAAAUAAGUGCAAAUGCCAACACAAGAACUGAAGCAAACUCAUGCGUGUGCGCACACACACACACAAAACAUACAAACACACACACCAGCCUGCUGCCAUUUUGGUUUUUGUGCCUACACAGGUGUUGUGCUCUGUGACAGGGCAAGCUCUGGAUCGAAGAAGAAAACAAGAAGAAAAGGAGAAAAGUGGAGAAUCCAGGAUAAUUUACAUGCAUCAUUCCUUAGGAAAUAGGGACCAAAGGACUAAACGCUUUUUAAAAGAAUAUAAAUAUAUAAAUAUAUAAAUAUAUAUUUAAAAACUCAUACCUUGUAGCUGCAAGUAUUACAAUUUACUCGUAGUAAAAAAACAAAAAAACAAAAACAUUAAAUCAAUAUCCAGUGGCCUACUGUAAGUAUGAAUAAAAGAACAUGGAAAUAAUGUAUAAAAAAAGACAUGGAAACGUAGUAUAGGGGCUGAUCUUUUGCUCUGGAUGCUGAUUUAGCACCAGGUUGUAGAGUAGUAGAGUAGACUAGAAAAAAAAAAGUGUAGAUUUGCUAACUUUUGCUGUUGUUUAAAAAAAUACUUGAAGUUGUAAUGAAAAUGGGGCAAAAGAGGGGUGGGAUGGUGUGGGGGGAAGCAUUCAUCUGCCCCUAAACGCAACAACUCUCUUUCUCUUGGAUGUUAACGUAUCAGCCACUGGAUAUCGCGCUCAUCAUUAUGUACAAGUCACCGCACUCUCUGACAGAUAUGGAGAUGAUCUUCUGGAAGAAAACAAAAGAAUAAGAAGAAAAAAAAGACUGACUUUACUGAUGUCUGUGCUGGACGGGGUGCAGAUGUUUAAGGCUUCACUGGCCUUUGUGUUCAAGCGACAAUCCACUGUAAAGACCAAGUAAAAUGGACAUGGGGUGUCUUUUUUUUUUUGUUGUUGGCCUUUUUGUAUUGCUACAUGAAGUGUGAAAUAUGAAGCCACAAACUUCUAAAAGGAGAUGAUUAAAAGUGAGAUGGACAAAUGGAUGGUCAUGACCGAAAGAGUAAAGAGGGAAGGAGAAAAAAGUGAUAGCUAUUGUAACUGCCAGCAGAAUGUAUUUGGUUUAGUAAUGAAUUAGCUCUUGUGGUAUCAGCAUUCUCUCAAAAAAACAAAGUAUGCCCAUCAUAAGCAGCCACAAAUUUGAAUGACAUGUCAAGGAUAUGUGUGUGUCCACUGAAGCUGCUGCAAAACUCUAGACUGAGAAAAAUUCAUUCUUGUCUGUUGGCAAAUUUCUCUAAAGAUGAAUUCAAUUUACUUCUGUAUUGCAGGAAAGGAGUGCCGGCUUUUAGAGCACAUUUACCUGUGUAAUGUUAAUUCCACUGUUAACAUGCUCCCUGACCUGCGUAAUGUACACAUUAUUCAUAAAGUCCACGGUAAAAAAAAAAGUAGAGCUUAAUGGCCUCGAUCUAAGAUAAUUCUAACAGUCACUCUUAAAAUCAUUCAACUCAUCUUUAGCUACACUGACACUGAUGCCAGGCACUCCAGUAGUGUCGUGUCUUGAUUUAGAGUCCUGUAGCCUCUGUUUUUUAACAAUUUACAGCUCUGGAAGCAGGCUCCUCUCUAAAACCAGAUCAAUAUGUUUCGAGUGAGUCUAGGGGGAGGAGCGAUGCUGUUUCAGUCACCACGAGCACUUCCCAAUUUUCUCCGCCGAACACCAGCUCAAAUCCAUAUACUAGCCCUCUAAGCACUGACAGCUGGCAAGGCUAGACAGAAGCAAGGAGAGAGUGGGGAGAAGAGGGGAAGUCAAGAACUCAUCACACCGAGAUCCUUUAAGCUGAUGCUGGUAGGUGAUGCCACAUGAUUUGACCAAAAAAAAAUAGAAACCCUAAUCAAGCUCUGGUGGCAAACAGUAUACAUAAUCUAAUCAUAAUCUGUGUUAUAUGCUUUCAAAAUCAGAUUAAACAGUCAAGUAGGACCUCAAGUUAAUACUUUAGGCACCAGUCCAACGAGCUCAUGUUAAGUAAUGAGAGUCUUCUUCUCCCUCUUUUUUGUUGAACUAGAAAAUCAGACCAGAAUUGGUCCAAAUCACUAAAGAAGGGACUGAUUAAAUGUGCCAGCAGAUUUCAUAGUUUUUAAUAUACUGCCUUUGCCACUUAAAAAAAAGCUGAAGGUACUAAUUUCAGCCCUUGAUAUUAACAUUCCACGUAGCACUUCCUUUUCUCCCGUCCUUAGAGCAGCCAUGCCUUUCUAAAUCACGGCACAAUUGUUUAGCGGCUCUCCCGUUGGAGCAGCAUUUUCGAACCUACCUAAUGCCUGUGCUCACUACCCUUCAAUUAUCUCUUGCACCACAUUAGACAUGCUAUUUCACCUUUCUCCCUAAUCACACUGUAAUCAUCAGCCUCUAUACAUUAGCAGCAACCAAGUGAAAAAUCACUGGGAUAAUCACUUGGACCAAAUGACGGGAGAGAUGGUCCCCUGCAUGCACAUGGAUGACAGAAGGAAGAUUAGGGAGAAUUAUGUUUGCGCCUACUCCCUGGCAAGGCUGGUGACAGCUGACCUGGCACCAAUAAUGUAGCCGAAUUUACCGAAGAGGCAAUGCAGGAUGAGGGAUAAAACCUUCCAUAUCAUAGCAAGGUUUUAAUGUUCCAGAGUAAUUUGACCAAAAACUAAAAGAGAAGGGCAGGUAGCAAAAUUGAUUUAGUUUUUGUUUUCUAUCACAAACAUUGCAGCAAUAGUUGCUUAAAACUGGGUCAAAUCCAACAUUUUUUACUAGAAAUCCUCAAUUCUGUUACUGUUCAGCUGCAGUGAGGCCUGUUGUUGUGAAUUUUCUUUCAGCAGCAACACUGCAUCUCAGAAGAUGAUGCCUGCAAGUUAUAGCCUCAUUCAUAUAUAUAUGUAUAUCUAUAUCUAUAU